This 348-nucleotide ribosomal RNA is filed under the name uncultured bacterium. RNAcentral's name for it is "partial 16S ribosomal RNA". It matches the Rfam family "Bacterial small subunit ribosomal RNA", at positions 338 to 684 of the family's 1533-position model. The record is from RNAcentral.
CCUAGGGAGGCAGAAGUGAGGAAGAGUGGUCAAGGGGCGCGAGCCGGAACCAGCCAAGUCGCGUGAGGGAGGACGGCCCUACGGGUUGUAAACCUCUUUUGCCGGGGAGCAACGGGCGCCACGUGGGGCGUCACUGAGAGUACCCGGAGAAAAAGCAUCGGCUAACUCCGUGCCAGCAGCCGCGGUAAUACGGAGGAUGCGAGCGUUAUCCGGAUUUAGUGGGUUUAAAGGGUGCGUAGGCGGAUCGUUAAGUCAGUGGUCAAAUUGAGGGGCUCAACCCCUUCCCGCCAUUGAAACUGGCGUUCUUGAGUGGACGAGCAGUAUGCGGAAUGCGUGGUGUAGCGGUGA